Molecule: long non-coding RNA, 626 nt
Filed under: Selaginella moellendorffii
Lineage: Eukaryota; Viridiplantae; Streptophyta; Lycopodiopsida; Selaginellales; Selaginellaceae
Description: long non-coding RNA (SMOE_LNC002220)
Source: RNAcentral
UGAAAGCUUACCGGGUGGAGAUGUUGCUGAUGGUAUUGUAAGCAUGGAUCCAAGAAAAGCAGCGGCAGCUUAUGUGAUGCUUUCCAGCAUCGCUGCCACAAGCGCGAGCCUGCAACAUCUUCGUUAAGUAACAGCGAGAGAGAAUGAAAAGACUAUAAAAAGCUCACGAGAAGCACCGCUGGCAGCGUAAUGAUAAGGCACGAAAGUGAAAGACGCUCGCUCCUGUUUCCUCGUAACAUGGAACGUUUGAGCGUUGAGCCAAGAGAAAAAUUACAAAAGACCCAUGCGUGCCUGCUGAAUGCAUCCAUAACUUUCACAGGGAAGAUACGAUCACGGACGAAGAAAACUCGUAAAACAACCAAGUUGUACCUUUAUUCGACUUUUCUGAGCAUUUGCUAGGCCUGACUCUAUCACGUGGUCAAGCAUUGUCUCAUUAGCUAGUAGCCCAUGCUGAAAAUGAGUUAGAAGACAAGAUCAGCAAGAAUACCAAGAAAAAAAAAAAGAAAAACAAAGUUGAGCUAAGAAACUGACCUGAACCAGUUUGGAAUCUUCUACAACACAUUAACGUUGCUUCCGAUGGUAAGAAAACAUCUUGCUUCUGGACCAACAGGACUUCCAUAUUUUAC